UCCGAUCAGUCAACGAGUGAGCAUUUACUUGUUCUUUGGCCGAUCACUGCCCCUAUUACAAAAGGUGAUAUCGGCCUGUUCUGUAGACAAUUACCCAUGUCAUAGGGCCCUUACCCCCUCUCUUCAAUGAAAAUACAUUACUCUCUGAGCUAAGCCAGACUUGCAUUGAGGGGACGGGCAUGACGUCACACGGGGGCGGAGUCCUGACGUCACAGACUUCCGUUCCCGUAGUCGUGACUCAGACCCUCCAGCGCUUCCGCACAAAAAACAGCGCUCACAGAUCCUGCAGCGCUGUACACUCAAAUAGGUCCCUGUCCUCACUGAGAUUUAUAUACAUAAAAUAGUGCCUCCUGCUCCACCAUGGGAUCCUGGGGUCUACCUUGAAGUCAUCAGUGAAAGGUUUGAUGUAUAUAGCAA
Molecule: long non-coding RNA, 417 nt
Organism: Hyla sarda
Lineage: Eukaryota; Metazoa; Chordata; Amphibia; Anura; Hylidae
Exons: 4
Source: RefSeq, a predicted model, not a curated record